Molecule: transfer RNA, 73 nt
Filed under: Chlorocebus aethiops (grivet monkey)
Lineage: Eukaryota; Metazoa; Chordata; Mammalia; Primates; Cercopithecidae
Also listed under: 1 other name
Description: tRNA-Phe
Source: RNAcentral
GUCUACGUAGCUUAACCCCCCCCCAAAGCAAGACACUGAAAAUGCCUAGAUGGAUUCACACAUCCCAUAGACA